UAAGGAAUAUUGGUCAAUGGAGGCAACUCUGAACCAGCCAUGCCGCGUGAAGGAUGAAGGCCCUAUGGGUUGUAAACUUCUUUUCUACGGGAAUAAACCUUGGGACGUGUCCUGAGCUGAAGGUACUGUAGGAAUAAGCAUCGGCUAACUCCGUGCCAGCAGCCGCGGUAAUACGGAGGAUGCAAGCGUUAUCCGGAUUCAUUGGGUUUAAAGGGUGCGUAGGCGGGAUGAUAAGUCAGAGGUGAAAGCCAGCAGCUCAACUGUUGAACUGCCUUUGAUACUGUCGUUCUUGAAUAUGGUUGGAGUGGGCGGAAUGUGACAUGUAGCGGUGAAAUGCGUAGAUAUGUCACAGAACACCGAUCGCGAAGGCAGCUCACUAAGCCAUUAUUGACGCUGAUGC
This 400-nucleotide ribosomal RNA is filed under the name uncultured bacterium. RNAcentral's name for it is "bacterial SSU rRNA". It matches the Rfam family "Bacterial small subunit ribosomal RNA", at positions 355 to 752 of the family's 1533-position model. The record is from RNAcentral.